GUUUUUGUAUUUUUUUUUUUUUUUUACAGAUGGGGCUUUGUCUUUUUGCCUAGGCUGGCGUCGAACUCCUGAACCUUCUCACCUCAGCCUCCCAAAGUGCUGGGAUUAUUUUCCCCUUUUACAAAUGAGGAAACUGAGGCCCAGUGAUGAUUCCAUGGAGACCGGCUUGCCUGGGGCUCAUGGGAAGCUGCUCAUGGGGUUCUUGGGGCUCUGUCCCUGGCUGUCACCUGUACUGAGGGCUGGUCCGGGGUGGGGACCAGGCUUUGGGGGCAAGAACUUGCGCCUCCUCGUUGCUCCCACCCACGUCCUCCCCAUGGAGCUCACCUGUUGGAGGGGGUUUUCUCUGCCAGGCAUUUUGUCAGGAAACCGUGAGGGAGGGCUCGUCACUCACUGCUGUAUCAACGUUGAACAGUUGGGUGCAGGAAGAUGCCUUGGCUGUUCGAGGUCCUGAUGGUUGGGAGGGGCCCUGCCUCGUGUGGCUUGAGCUGAGCGAGCACCCCUGGCCUGAGCAGACGGCCCUGGCUCCCCCAGGACACGUCACCUGGAGACGUGGCCCUCUCAGGCUCCGUCCUCCUUCCCUGCGGUGGCCCCAGCCUCCCCGCCAAGCUUCCUGGCCCCCGCCCCAUCCUGGGCCUGCUGCUGCGGAGACCGUGGGCCGGCACUGGACGGCGCGGCCUCCAGAAGUGAUAGCUAAUUGGGGAGAGAAAGGGCCCAAUUGUCUGGCGGGGCCGGAAGAGCCGCGUGGGCUGCUGAAAGCGCCGGGAGGAGGUGGCCGCUUCGCCCAGCAGCUGCCGCCGGGGAUGUUUGCAGAUUACGUCAGUGCUGGCGAGCAGGGGGCGCGGGGACAGCGAGGGGGGCGGGCUCCCGGCGGCCUCCCGCCCCCCAGGCCCCUGGACAAUGCUGUCAUUGUCGGCACAGAGAGUGGUUAAUUCUGGAUGAAUGGUACACGGGCCUCUUGACCAAGGAGGCCGCUCGCCGCCCCCGUCUGUCCCCUCACAUGCCAGGGAGGCCCCGGGCUGGAGUCUGGCGGGCAGGGCUGGCCUGCUUGGCGGCACCGGAGAGAAGCGGGUGGUCCCUUGGGGGCGCUGGCUGCAGAGGCCCCUGGCUGGACGGAGCUUCCUGACCCAGGGCCGCACGGCGGCCACUUGGCAGUGCCGGGUUUGGACGGCAGGGCCCCACCUCAUCUUGGUUCGAGGGCAGAGGCCUCUGCUGCUCUGUGGGGCUGACCUUGGGCAUGACCUCCUGGCCAGGUGGCAGCUCGGGCCCUGACCCGCUCCUGGCCCUGCUGGUGGUGAUCCUGCUAGCACGCCUCAUCCUGUGGUCCUGCCUCGGGACAUACAUCGACCACAGACUGGCCCAGCGGCGGCGCCGGAGACCCAAGCAGGACUAGGCCUUGGCAGACUGUGGCCUCCACGUGCCCUGCACUCAGCAGACCCUUCCGGUGGUGGUGGGAGGGAGGGGAGCAGGACAGGCUCAUGAUCCCCAUGUCCCACCCCCGGGGCAGGAGCUCAGUAAGGCCUGAGAUGGACCGUGCGUGCCCAGACUGACCAGGGCUGUCCCGUAGAGGCGGCUGGCCACGUGGUGAGAUGGAAGAGCCAGCCUUGCGGGUCCCUUAGCAGGUUCUGGGGUCCCCGGUUGCAAGGUGUGGUCCUGGGGGUGGGUCUUGCUUUAAGAUCUUCUCUGCCUUCAAUUCCUUAUAAACAUGCCUGCAGGAGUUGCUGGGUGAGCCAGGGGACUCAGGUGGAGAGCCACAAAGAAAGACGAAGGUGGAGGGCCGAAACCAGACUUGCGGCCCAAGGCCACGUCCUGCCUCAGCUCACCACCAUCAUAACCAGUCUCCUCCUGCCUCCUGAGGGACAGGACAAGUGUGGAUGGCUGUGACGGUUUCCCCAGAGCGGACCCCUGGGAGCGUCUGAAGACACACGCGUGAGGCUGAGUUCAAGUCUGGCUCCGGUUGACCCUCUGCACACUCUCUAACAGUCCAAACCUCAGUGAGGGCACAAUGAUCCCUGCCUUCCUCCCUCAGCAGGACAUCACGUGUGGGACGCUUUAGGGGACAAGCCUAGGGACCGGCCAAUGCCCUCUGCUCAUCUGUCCCUGCACAUGCUGCGCAUGUGUGGAUGGGAGGUACCAGGAAGGCCGACGGGGCAGGGAAGUUGAUUUGAGGCCAGGCACCCGUGCCCCGUCGCCACUCCCCAGCACGUUAGCUGCGAUGCGAGCGACUUAACCCACAGCUUGUGGAAGCUCCGUGGUUCUCACGCUGGCUCCACAUUACAGCCUCUGGUGGGGAGUUCGGCAAACACCCAUGUCCGAGCUCCACGCUGUCUUUCCUGGGAUUGUUCCAGCAGAUUCUGGAUUGCGGCAAGGGCUGCUGACUUCGCAUGGAACAGUGAGACAGAAAGGACCAUGGUCGGCAGCUCCAGGGAGGAGCAUCGAACCAGAUACCGUUCCUGCGAGGCGGGGCCUGGUGAUGCGGCUGCGUCUUGCUCUUUGCUUAGUGACGGGCAUGCUGGGGACACUCCCUCUGGGAACGUGGGCCAAGUCUUCUGAGCACGAAGCUCACACAGGGGGUGAUUCCUGUGAAUUCUGAAAGGACUUGGGAGCGUCCAGUAAGAGCAGGAGCUUAGAUGGUGAUUCCAGGGCUGGUGUUGCUGACUGGGGUGCAUGCCGCUCCCUGCCCGGGGUGGGCAUGGUUCAGGCUGGGAGCCUCUGCCUUGCUGUAUCCUGGCUGAAUGACCCCAGGGGAGGGCCAGAAACGCCUUAUCGCUAUUUCUGUGGCACCUGAUACACUCACCUAUGCCAAGGACCCGCUGUGCGCAGAUCCUCUGUUCAAGGGAGCUGCAGAGAUGGGGGUGCUGACGAGCAGGAGCUGAGACCGGCUGGGGUGGGACCGACCAAGAGUUUGAGGGUGGGGUGGUGUCCAGGGGGCCAUGUGAGGAUGACCUAUUGCAGAGGGUCCCUUUUCGUUCACACCCUGAAGUCUGCACAGGGGCAGGGGCUACGGUGCUCCGUUUCCAUUUGGCCUCUGUCGUGUCGGCCAGAGGCCAGCCGAACUCUGCGGCCACUCCCCUGCGUCACGGACAAUUCGCUGCCACCACCGGCGGCCCAGGGCUCUGCCUGGAUAUUCUCACCUGAUCGCAGGACCGCGGGGAGGGAUGAUCUCAUUGAUCUCUAAGGAAAAUACCGUUGGAGCUUGAGAAGCACUAUCUUGUACAUUUUAUGGAUCUCUUCAAGGAAGAAAAAUCACCUUUGUUGCCAUGAGCAG
This is a long non-coding RNA of Saimiri boliviensis boliviensis (Bolivian squirrel monkey), 3265 nucleotides long. The record is from Ensembl. Lineage: Eukaryota; Metazoa; Chordata; Mammalia; Primates; Cebidae.